RNAcentral lists this long non-coding RNA (226 nucleotides) under Cairina moschata (Muscovy duck). RNAcentral's name for it is "domestica (muscovy Duck (domestic type)) lncRNA (ENSCMMG00000000765.1)". Lineage: Eukaryota; Metazoa; Chordata; Aves; Anseriformes; Anatidae. The record is from RNAcentral.
CUCAGAGGAAUAGAGAUGCUCAAGCACCGGUCCCCACUUGAACAAAUAUUGUCGUGCUGAGUGAUGAGAGCCCUCAGAAAGCUGAACAGAGGCACCCAGAGGACCGUGAAUAUUGGCAGAACUCCUCAAGAUUGAUUUGUGCAGUGUUGGAAGAUGAUAGUAGGUAACUAGACUCCUCCAAACAACAACCAACUUAAAUUCAAACUAGUGAUUUAUCAACAGAUUG